This 880-nucleotide long non-coding RNA is filed under the name Olea europaea subsp. europaea. Lineage: Eukaryota; Viridiplantae; Streptophyta; Magnoliopsida; Lamiales; Oleaceae. The record is from RNAcentral.
UGGCUAUUUGAUUCGAGUUAACAUUAAUUGGAACUAGAUUAAGUAUAUAGUCUCCAUGAGACGAUAAUUUAUUUAUCACUUUAUCACCUGUCUACGGGUUAAUUAUGUCAAUAGUCACUGAACUUUGCAAAAGAUUUUCAAGGGGUCCCUGAACUUUAAGAAUCACCUAAAUGGUCAUUGAACUUUGCAAAAGGUUUCUCAAAAGUCACUGAACUUUAAAAAUCACCUAAAUGGUUACUGAACUUUGCAAAAGGUUUCUCAAAAGUCAUUGAACUUUAAAAAUCACCUAAAUGGUCAUUGAACUUUGCAAAAAAUUUCUCAGAAGACACUGACCUAUCCAACCCCUAAACCACCUUAGAGCCACCACUUAUGGACUACCAAAAUCCACCCUCCUGCCACCUUGGCCGCCGGACCGACAUACCACCUUGAAACCCUCGCUUCUCUCUUCGCUACCCAACCAAGCUCCGACCAUAACACCAACCGAUUUGGUCGAAAAUUCAAGCCAAAAUGGGAUGACGAAGCACAAAAAAUGGCCGGAAGUGUUAGAGUCACCACUUUUGGACCACCAAAACUCUACACUUCGAUCACCUUGGCCGCUGGACCGACAUACCACUUUGAAGCCCUCACUAGUCACUUCCCUUGAACUAUCUUGAUUAAAACCAAGCACCUGUCUCUAAGAUAGUUGAACCUAUGAUAUAAUUCAUAAGAAAAUGAGUAAGGUUUUAAUGUACAGAUAAAUGUGAGCAAAGGUUUUAGAAAUUAAAGCAAAUAUUGAUUACAACACCUGUGUUAACCAUACUUGAGAGUUUAGAAGGGUUUGUUAUGUAUAGUGAUACGUCCAAUUAAGGUUUAGGAUGUGUAUUAAUGUAGCAUGAAAAAG